GUAUUAUUGUCAAGGAAAUCACCUUGCCAUCUUCAAGGAGUAUCUUAUCAUCCAUAGGCAGAAUGCUAUUGUUAGCAUGGUCACCAUUGAGAAUAUCCCAAUCGCGAAUGCCAGAAGAAUCUUUAAUGGUGAGGAGACAGGUCAUGGUGAUCGCUCUUACGCCAGUGCGGUUAAAUCUCGUCCAAUACCUUCGUCAGCUUGUGUCUAAUCGAAUGAUUUUCUGAGUCAUCAAUACGAUCGCCGCGCUUCUUGCUCGGAGGGCCCGAAAUCACUUCGUGAGAGGCGGGAGAUUUAUGAAGGAGGCGCUCAUUGAGAUGCCCUAUGAGCUCGGUAGAAGUGCAUUCCCUUCAGGUAACGGAGUGGCGUUUUGAGGAAGUCCGUCUUCGCAGCAAAGUUUUCAAGCGCGCGACCACCACUGGCAGCAGACAUUCGAUUUGAGGGAGAGAGGAGAGGGAUGGUAAUAAACAAAGCAAUUGGAACAGGCACUACGCAGACAUUAAAUUAUCAGAUCACCUCAAUGGCUCAGUAUAAGCCAGUUUGUCUGCGGGGUCAAUAAAAGAAGAAGAAGAAGAAGAAGAAGAAGUCGUCAACUUUAACGCUUAAUAUCUUAGUUCGCGAGGCAGAGCGACACUUUUUUCGGUAAUUAUACUGAAGGUGCCGCAGCUUAAAAAUCAAUAAAAUUAGUCUUAUUCGACGCGUUUUUGCAUCAAACGAACAAAUCUGACAGAAAA
Atta colombica is the source of this 731-nucleotide long non-coding RNA. RefSeq lists it as uncharacterized. The transcript is spliced from 3 exons. The record is from RefSeq and is a predicted model, not a curated record. Lineage: Eukaryota; Metazoa; Arthropoda; Insecta; Hymenoptera; Formicidae.